CACCAGUCACUUUUGAUAUUUCAUUCAAUGAAACAUAAUGAGAAUUUUAAACAAUGGUAGUAUACCGUUUUCAUCAAACCUCAUGCAAAAGAAGGCAAAUAGUAGAGGAUAACUAGGCUUUAUCUGCUAAUUUAAGAGAGAUUCCAAUGCCAUUGCUGUCGUUGUACAAACAAUAGCACAUCUGCAAAGCAGUCUCCCCAUUCUAAUAUGGACAGCUCCAACUGUGUUGCUAUUUGGAGGCCCAUGGCAGCAUACUUCAGCAGUACAGCAAUGCAGAGAACAAUAGACACAUGCUAACACAAAUAUUGCUAACAUGGAAACCAGCCCAACAUUACAAUACUAGAGGAAUACCUCUGAUGCCAGUUUCUACUGGAUUGAUAUUUUCAUCAGGAUUCAUCAGGAUCAGGAUUGUUGUCAUCAUGUAGACACUGAACUAGCCAGGAGAUGUUGGACCAUGCUUCAUGAAGGAAAGUCUUCAUUUCUUUGACAAAGAAAUCUCCCAAUAAAGGAAGCAUGGCGGCAUUGUCAACCUGAAAUGGGCUAACAUUAUGAGGUAAUAGUGUUUCCGCCGUGCAGGGAAUUAUCCUUUAAAAUGUCCUGAAAACAGAUGUUUUGGAGUGAUGUGAUCCUUUGGCUUUCUGUGAACAUAAAUCUGUAUUGUACAGGGGAAGCAGCGUGAAAGAUAUCUCAUCAGACCAUUAGAUUGGUCAGGGUCCAGAUGUCAAGCACUUUACAUCAACUUAUGUGUAUUUGUGCUUUGGACUUGGAUACAACUGGCUUCCAAAUAAAAGACUUUUGAAAAAAAACUCCAUCUCUGUGAAGCUCACAACAUGAAGUUUUUUGUUGAGACUGGAUCAUAGGAGUCCAGAUUCAUUUAUAUGGUCAUUUUUGAGGCUGUAAUUUUUUUGGCAUUUAGGAACUAUCUUGUGAAGCAUUCAGCUGUGCCUGUUGGUGUGCUCUGACUUCACCAGUUUCUCUUUGAUGAUACAGUUUAGUAUAAGUUGUCAUUAUUUCUGAGACUCUUCCCUUGAUGUGUGAAAUAAUGUUGCCAUUUUUGUGACCAAUACACCUGAAAUUCAGGUACUGACUACUUGGCCUCUUUGCAACUCUGUAAUUGCCUCAAAAACUCAAAUAUCAUAUUUCUAAUUGUGAGACCUGUUUUAUAGCUGACACAUGUAGCAAUCAACCUCAUUUGCAGCUACACUUUUAACUGUGAUUUAGCUAUUUCAAAGGUAAACUAAUUUUUCAUGUGUUUUUUUUUGUUUGUCCAACUACUGUACCUGUAUUAUUUGGAGAGCGAUUCAUUAUAUGUUAUUUUUAGCAUAGAAUUUUUCUUCUGUAUCUUAUUUCAUCGAUUUUACUGCUGAGCUGUUUUGUAGGCAUUAUUAUGAUGAGGGUGUUUAAUAGAAGUUUCUCUGUAAUAUGGUAGAUAAAGUAGAUCAUUUUGGUGGCAGUUAUAUUGCAAUGAAAAAAAAACUUCAUGCAAUAAAAGCGAUGUUAAUGUAUUAAGCUGCAUUUUAUACAGAGUGGUUCAAAUGCCACAGAAGUGUUUUCUAUAUAAUAAUAACUAAGGGUUGUUUGUGCACAACCAGCAAAAAUGCCAAAAAUAUUUUACUUAAAUAUGAGCUUUGCACUUAAAUGAUGUUUCCACCCAAUUUACGAGUCAGAAAUUAAUACAAAAUUGAUAGAAUGCCUAAUGGUGACGAUACCCUUUAUGUGUGUUUGUGCAUAGGAUAAUGAUUGUAGUGCGUAGAUUAAGUUAAUGCCAUCUUUGUUCAGGAAAAUUAUUCUUGGUUUUAAGGUAAAGCUUCUACAAUAAUGCUAUUUUGAGAAGAGGCAUACUGAGGAUAAAAACAAUUUAUAAGCUAAAGCCACUGGGGGGACUUUCUGGGUGGCAUAGCUAGUUUGGAGUUAUCCAUGUAUGUUUUAUGGAAUCAUGAUUAAAAAGAAUUAUUCAGACCUAGUUUUGUAAUAUUACAUUCAUGAAAAGGUGCUGUUUGUCUUCAUUAGUACAAAAUUCCUACUAUUAUCUAAAACAGACCAUUUAAAAUGAAAAAUCAAUGCAUAGUAUUUUCUAUAGCAUUUUUAUAAUAUUGUGCAAUAUCACUUAUAGGACAAUACCCAACUUUCCUUCCAAAUAUUCUCACUCAAAAAGUUACUCAAAUAGGAUUUUUCUUUCAGUUUAUCUACGUAUCUGGACUAUGAGAUGAAGCCAGAGUCCACUGGGAUCAAAACCAUCUAUUUCCACACUGAGCAUAAAGCUUUUGAUUACUGCCAGAUUUUUAUUUGCACUGCAUAGUUUUAACAUUAAGAUACAAUAUUUUAAAAGUAUACAUUGAUUUGUGUGGUAAACCUUCAUCAAUAAUUCAGAAAAGAAAUAGACUGGUACACGAACCAGACUUGUACUUCCUUCCUCCAACAGCCUCCCCAACCCUUCCUUUUUACAGCUAAGGUUAUACUGUAUAAUCUGUACUGUAAAUGGUUUGGCUACUUUUUUUAACAGAUUUGUAAAAGGAGAUGUUCAAAUAUUAAAUUGCAGAUUAUAUGUGCCCAGCCCAAUUUUGGUGCACUACUUAAAUUUAGUGGCAAAAGUAGCAUAAACCCACAUGUGUAGCACAGCUCAGGACAAACUAUGGUAUUUAUCUGUCAUUGGGAUACAUCAUAUCAAGCCACUUUCAUUUUCACAGGCUUUGCAAAAACAGGCACACCUCUGUUGAACUGUAUGUGAAUUGCCUUUGGCCUAAUGUAGAUGUGCUCUUCAACUUUACUCUCAAACUUCUCAGACUCCCAUACCCACAGAAUGAGUGGAAAUGCGGUAUUAAACAGUCACUCUGAAAGGGUGAGCUAGAUUGAGCUACUUUUAUGUUCACAGAUUUUGGACAGGAGGGAUCCUGUGAUAAAUUACAGGUGAGCUUUGGUCAGCCCAAUGAGAAUAUAUUAUUUGUAUUUACUGGCAAACUUGCCACACUCCUAUAUCUGCAGCUUUGGACUAUAUUUAGCGGGCAUUCUAAAGGAUUAGAAAUUAUAUUGAGGCUCUUUAAUUUUCAUAGUUUGGUGACAAGGUUUAUUUCUGUUCUAAAUUACAGGUAAAGUUGAUGUCACAACACAGGGUAUGUUGUUUGCUUUGAAAAUGUCUUAAAUUAUGGUGAUUGAAAUCAAAGCAUUUGCAACAUUUUCAGACACUUUCCAGACAAAAGCAUUUUAAAUGUACUUUAAAAUAAGCAUUAAAAGUUAAUUAAUUAAAUAAUUAUUGAAAUGUAUUUUAUACAAUUUUGAAAACAAUACUCUGUUCUCAUUUGGGUUGAUUUGCCACGUUUGUGUGAGAAGAACUGAUUCACGUCUGUGAUGUUUCUGAAUGUAAAUAAA
Long non-coding RNA from Polypterus senegalus (gray bichir), 3366 nucleotides. RefSeq lists it as uncharacterized. Lineage: Eukaryota; Metazoa; Chordata; Cladistia; Polypteriformes; Polypteridae. The transcript is spliced from 3 exons. The record is from RefSeq and is a predicted model, not a curated record.